GACGAACGCUGGCGGCGUGCUUAACACAUGCCAGUCGAACGGAAAGGCGCUGCUUUUGUUGGGUUCUCGAGUGGCGAACGGGUGAGUAACACGUGAGUAACCUGCCCUUGACUUUGGGAUAACUUCAGGAAACUGGGGCUAAUACCGGAUAGGAGCUCCUGCUGCAUGGGGGGGGUUGGAAAGUUUCGGCGGUUGGGGAUGGGCUCGCAGCUUAUCAGCUUGUUGGUGGGGUAGUGGCUUACCAAGGCUUUGACGGGUAGCCGGCCUGGGAGCGUGACCGGCCACAUUGGGACUGCGAUACGGCCCAGAAUCCUACGGGAGGCAGCAGUGGGGAAUAUUGCACAAUGGGCGGAAGCCUGAUGCAGCAACGCCGCGUGCGGGAUGCCGGCCUUCGGGUUGUAAACCGCUUUCGACGGUGACGAAGCGUGAGUGACGGUAAUGAGUAAAGAAGCACCGGCUAACUACGUG
This 468-nucleotide ribosomal RNA is filed under the name uncultured bacterium. RNAcentral's name for it is "partial 16S ribosomal RNA". It matches the Rfam family "Bacterial small subunit ribosomal RNA", at positions 28 to 507 of the family's 1533-position model. The record is from RNAcentral.